GUUCAUUUCGGUAUUACAAAAUAUUUAUAUUAUUAGCGGGCCCGUAAAACCGAAAUUGAAUCAUCAAAACAAAGCAAAUUAUCGUCAGUCUUUAAUAGCUUCGGAUAGUUAGGCUUGCCGAGCCCCGUCAACGAAAGACACGAAAAGAAUCGCCUCUCGUAAUCCUCUGGUCAAAAAUGAUCCGAGCAUAUAGUCGAAGUCUAGCUUUGACGGCACAAACAAACGUUUUGCGGAUAUAAAACCAACCCAUACUUUUCUUCGUCUUUUAGCUUCCGCGCGUUCGUUAUUGAAGUAUGGAAUAUUGUGUAAACUUAUUCCAUCUUUUAAACAUGGUUUAUUGGUACAGUUAGCUGCAACAUAGUAAAAAGGCAUAUAUUUUUUUUAUCACAAAUCUAGUAUAUUUGUAUAUGGUCUUUAUAUGGACUAUAUGCGCCAAGAGUUAGUACCAGUCGAAUAAAUUAUAGAAUACCCCGACUCACUUGCGUGACGUAACAAAAAUCGCUCGUUCCAGUUUCCUUCGAACACGGACGCGUGCCAACAAAAAGCCCACAUUUUGCGUGUUCAAACGGCUCUAAAAUUUUUUCGUUUCAAUGAAAUAAAAAAAUUCUUUCACCAAAACACUCCACAUAAUGUGUACUUUCACUACACAAAAAAUCAAUUUUUG
This is a non-coding RNA of Paramuricea clavata, 664 nucleotides long. The record is from the annotation of a GenBank genome assembly. NCBI's taxonomy places the organism in Eukaryota, Metazoa, Cnidaria, Anthozoa, Malacalcyonacea, Plexauridae.